AUGCGGAUUAUAAAAAAGUAUAUUAAAGAAAAGGACUACAUUUCCCAGAAUGCACCUGCACCCACUCAUCUGACUGCCCCCACCCUUCAGGUGCGACUGCUCAACCUAUGGGCUUGACGGAAAAUUCAAAUCGCAAACCGUUACUGCCUGGACUACUCCGUCUCUUAUUUGUUUGUUUGCUCAUUAACAGUAAGAGGUCAUGUACACUGUGGUCAACUUUGUGGACGAUGAAGAGGUUUCUGGGUAAAGAUGAUAGAAAUAUAAUGAAGUAACAGUGAAAGCUAAAACAUCAGACUGAUCCAGACACUUAGGAAAUUGAUGUCACUGCAAUCUGGCCAAAAUGAUACAACUAUAUUGAAGUAGCCUACUGUAAUGAAGCUGCAGAACAACACAGAGACUCUUGAGGACAUCAACACAGAAAAUGAAGGCUCCAAAGAGAUGUCUGUCCAGAUGAGGGUGCAUCAAUGUUACGUUUGCUGACAAGUAUAUGCUUUACAAUGGAAAACCUAACAGUUAACUUAACUCAAACCAUUUAAGGAAAUCGGUUGCCUUAACCCAUUAAGUUUUAAAAAACAUACAUUUGAGUACUGUGAACUUAAGUCUUGUGCAAUUAUGCACUUAUAUUUAGUUAGUGUGAACUUAAAUAUAAGUGCAUAACUGCAUGUGACUCAAUUUGUUUAAGUUCACAGUACUCAAAUCCAUGUGUUUUAAAACUUAAAUGAUUUAAUGCAACCGGUUUUCUUAAAUGGUUUGAGUUUAGUUAACUUUUAGGUUUUACAGUGAGAAAUUCUUGAAUAAUUCCAAGACAGAGCUCUGCAAUUGAAUCAACACUGCAAAAAAUCAGUUUCUAACUUAGGAUUUUUAUCUUGUUUUUAGUAGAAAAACUAAAAAUUCUUAAAUCAAGAUGUAUUUUCUUGAUGAGCAAAAUUACCUAAGAAAAUGUCUAGUUUUUAGACAAAAAUAUACAAUUUAAGUACAUUUGUG
Non-coding RNA from Paramisgurnus dabryanus, 984 nucleotides. The record is from RefSeq and is a predicted model, not a curated record. Lineage: Eukaryota; Metazoa; Chordata; Actinopteri; Cypriniformes; Cobitidae.